RNAcentral lists this ribosomal RNA (677 nucleotides) under Huananpotamon angulatum. RNAcentral's name for it is "eukaryotic LSU rRNA". The record is from RNAcentral. Lineage: Eukaryota; Metazoa; Arthropoda; Malacostraca; Decapoda; Potamidae.
GCCGCGACCCGUUGCUGGGGACGUCGAAGGCCCGGGUGGACUGGUACCCCGACGCCGUGCUGCUUUAGUAGCAUGACGAAGGGGGAAACCUCCGGUGUCCUGGCUGCCCUGCGACGGUCGUGCAGAUGAGGGGCGAAUAAACGUCACUCUCGCGGCGUGCAAAAGGUCGGUGACCCACCCGACCCGUCUUGAAACACGGACCAAGGAGUCUAACAUGUGUGCGAGUCAUUGGGUGCACUAAACCCACAGGCGUAAUGAAAGUGAAAGGUGGGCGUCCCGGGGUUCCCUCACUGAGGGGGCUCUGGUCGGCGCCUACCGGGGCCGAUCCUCGACAUGCCGUCGGUUCGCCGGCGUCUCUUCCCACACCAAAGCGGGGCCGCCAAGACGGGGCUGCGGACGCGGGGUGAGACCCUUUCCCUCGUGGCGUAGCCUCCGGUCCCGUGGGUACCCGGCGAGCGCGACAGUCCGGCUGCUGCUGAUUCUGGUAGUAGCCGCCUGUACGCAGGGGGGCGCAGGCCCGGGACUUGCCAUUUGACGCCGUCGCGUAAAUCUGUUGUUGGCCUCGCCGGCUCUGCUUGGGCUCUCGGUUGGCGGGCCGCGCGCCGGGCGGGCUUUAGGAGGAGGGCAUACACUGUCCAAGUCCGGGUCCGUCCGUACCGCGCGGUUUUAGCCUUGCG